RNAcentral lists this ribosomal RNA (472 nucleotides) under uncultured Sphingobacteriales bacterium. RNAcentral's name for it is "bacterial SSU rRNA". It matches the Rfam family "Bacterial small subunit ribosomal RNA", at positions 910 to 1382 of the family's 1533-position model. The record is from RNAcentral. Lineage: Bacteria; Pseudomonadati; Bacteroidota; Sphingobacteriia; Sphingobacteriales.
UUGACGGGGGCCCGCACAAGCGGAGGAGCAUGUGGUUUAAUUCGAUGAUACGCGAGGAACCUUACCUGGGCUCGAACGUAAGAUGACUGUAGGUGAAAGCUUACAUCUCUUCGGAGCAUUUUACGAGGUGCUGCAUGGUUGUCGUCAGCUCGUGCCGUGAGGUGUCGGGUUAAGUCCCAUAACGAGCGCAACCCCUACCUUUAGUUGCCAUCAGGUAAUGCUGGGGACUCUAAAGGAACUGCCUACGCAAGUAGUGAGGAAGGUGGGGAUGACGUCAAGUCAUCAUGGCCCUUACGGCCUGGGCUACACACGUGCUACAAUGGUCGGUACAAAGGGUUGCCAAGCCGCGAGGUGGAGCUAAUCCCAUAAAACCGAUCGUAGUCCGGAUCGCAGUCUGCAACUCGACUGCGUGAAGUCGGAAUCGCUAGUAAUCGUGAAUCAGAAUGUCACGGUGAAUACGUUCCCGGGCCUU